Molecule: ribosomal RNA, 466 nt
Filed under: uncultured bacterium
Lineage: Bacteria
Description: partial 16S ribosomal RNA
Rfam family: Bacterial small subunit ribosomal RNA (bases 52-466)
Source: RNAcentral
GGGGGGGGGGGGGGGGGGGCGGGGGGGGGGGGGGGGGGGGGAGGAGGGGGGGCGGGGGGGGUGGGUUAGUGGCGGACGGGUGGGGAACGCGUGAGGGACGGGCCCUUGACUCUGGGAUAAGCCUGGGAAACGGGGUCUAAUACCGGAGAGGAGCGGCCACCGCAUGGUGGGUGGUGGACAGAUUUAUCGGGGUUGGCUGGACUCGCGGCCUCUCGGCUGGUUGGUGGGGCAAUGGCUCACCAAGGCGACGACGGGUAGCCGGCCUGAGAGGGUGACCGGCCACACUGGGACUGAGACACGGCCCAGACUCCUACGGGAGGCAGCAGUGGGGAAUAUUGCACAAUGGGCGCAAGCCUGAUGCAGCGACGCCGCGUGAGGGAUGACGGCCUUCGGGUUGUAAACCUCUUUCAGUAGGGAAGAAGCGAAAGUGACGGUACCUGCAGAAGAAGCACCGGCUAACUACGUG